Amphiprion ocellaris (clown anemonefish) is the source of this 3082-nucleotide long non-coding RNA. Lineage: Eukaryota; Metazoa; Chordata; Actinopteri; Pomacentridae. The record is from Ensembl.
GGUGGGUCCUACCUAGACCAGGCUGAUCCUGGACCAUCCCACAGAUGCUCAAUCAGAUCUGGAUGUGGGGAGUGUGGAACCCAGAUGUUCAGAGGGAGAUGAUGCCACAUCUGGUCCAGCUGAUGGAAGGUCUUGAAGUUCUCUGACUGGCCUCGACUGAAGAUGGUCGUCUCACUGGAUUUAAGGUUCAGAUGCUCAGUAACAAACUCCACCAAUGAGCCAACAGGGAAGCUUUAGGUUUAUUAAAUGUUGCUAUGAAGGUAUCGCUGUUUUUCUUUGUGAAUGCAAUGUGCUCCAACUGAAACUUGAAUUAGAACUUAGAAGUAAAUCCUUCCAUCUGAAAGGAAUUAAUAACCUCAUAACAUUCUAAUUUUUAUUCCAGUCUUAGUUGGAAAUAGAAUCUCUGUAUUGAUUCAGGUAAAAACUGAACUUCACAGCAUGUUGGAGCAAAACAACCAGAUGAAAACUGUGAUGGUGUUGGAUUGUCAGACCGUAAUGUUGCAGCUCAAAGCAGCUUUUCUAGCUCAGUUCAUUCUGACAUUCAGCUAUGAAUCAACACAGCAGAUGGUGAUCCAUGCUGUGGAAGUCUCACAUCUCCUGAUUUAAUGGAGCUGCUUUGCACUUUUUGCACUGUUUAUUCACCAACACUUUAUUUAAUAAAAGUCCCAUCUAGUUUUUAUGAGGAAUGUGAUGUUUUAAUUUCUCUGUGAAUAACUGCAGUCUAAUGCAACAGCUGGAGUUGUAACAUCUGUCCUGAUAUUGAUCAUGAAGUAUUGAUCAGAAUACUUAUGGUCAGCAGUCAUCCCUGAAGUUUUACAUUAAAAUCUUUACUUGUGUCGUGAACUUUGGUAAGAAGCAGAAACGUUAGUGUUGCCAUGGAUACAUGAGUGUUAAAUUCUGUCCAUGUUUCCAUUUUGGGAAAUGCAGUCCAGUUCCAGAAUGUGGAGGAAUUUAGUCUCACAAUCACAGACAACAAAUAUUAUCUGAAAGUCGGGUUAUUGUUGUUUAUCAGCACAAUACAAAAAGAUUAAUGUUAGAAAUAUUCCAGUUAAGACUCUAGAAUAUCGUGAUUUAUGUAAAUUUACCUCAAUAAUAUGAAUGUUCAGGUUAAGAUUGUACAGUGAUAUUUAUUAUGUAAGUUUAGCUGAUUAAAGUUUAUGACUCUGCACUAAAAUAUUAUUUAAAUUGACAUCAUUAUUAUAAUAUUUAGGGUCAGACCCUACAGUAUUGAGAUUAAGAAAUCAAAUAUUCUAUAAAAUGUGAAUACACUGAAUUCAUUUGGAGAUAUUUAAAUGAGACUCUACAAUAUUAUUUGACACAAAUCAACCAAAAUUAAAAAUUUUAAUCAUUUUUACUCCAAACAUUUACUGGACUGAUUUAAACAUUAAAAUCACUCCUUUCUAAUCCUCUGCUGUACGUUCAAACCUGAGGCCUUAAAUAGAAACACAAGUAUCUGUUUGAAGGAACUUCUGCAGAGUCCUGGUUCCAGAACAUGAUGAUAAAAUUAUAGACAAACUUUAACAAAAGCUGCCUGAGAGUUUACAGGUUUUUAUGUUGGAUUUCUUCAGUCAUUUAAUGAGCGUUAUCAGCAAAAAUCAAGUGUUCAUUUGAUGAACUUCAUUUCCUAAAACAUCCAGAAUUGGAGUUCAUAUCUUUGGCAGCUGUAAAGUUUCUGCUCCUUCAAAGUUCACAACACAAUGAAUGAAUUCCUAAAACACUCUCAGUGCUGGAGAGCAUUUGAUGCUGAAGCAGUGAUCAGUUUUUCUGUUUCUUCUCUGGAGAUGCACAAUGAGGGACGUCUGCAGAGACUGAGAAAGAGUCUCACCACAUCCUUACAUGAGGAAAAAGACUUUAUUGAAGACUACAAUGAGAAAAACUAUCAGACAGCAGACGGCUGCAUUCAAGUUUAGGCUUUUCGAUUGUUCCAGACAAGACAAGUAAAAGAUUCUUCAGAGCCUUUCUACCACGAGCCUGACAGGAAGAACUCCAACAGCUACUGAAUGUUCCUGUGGUUCCCUCAAGGCUACAGGAGGAGUCCUACGAGGACGAGCCGGUCCACCUGAUGGUGGCCAGUCGCUGCGGUUCAAAGCCAACACCAACUACAUGGACUUCUACUGGACCACACGGAGGCCUUCAAACCAGACCAACAAGUUCAGCGACUCCCCGACUCGUGGGUCUGAGGACGCCGCCGAGCCUCGGCCCAGCCGGCCUCCUGUCUGUGGGUGUUUGAGUGCUGAGAGGUUUGAGGAUGCAUGUGAACGUUCUGUGUUGAAACAGCAGCUUUUGACUCAGUAACGCCGGGAAAAACCAAGAGCUCCUUUAUUUGUCACUUCCACUAAAAAAACUGAACAAAAUAAGUUUGCCAGGUUUCUGACUGAUAACAGAUUAUUAAAUAAUGAAAAUAAUCAUUUAAAUAUUCCUUUAAACAAUCCUUUUAGGUCUACAUUUCCUUUACACUGACUUCUUGGUAUAUGUACAAGUAUUUUGGGUGGAAUAUACCAUUAAGCCUAAUAUUCAAGGGUUCUUCUGGGAAUAUACCAUUAAACCAACCUUUUACGUAAAUGUUCCAGGAUGUUGGGUAGAAUAUACCAUCAGAUAAACCUUUUAGGUCUACACUGGAAGAUUUUAGAGUAGAAUAUUACUCCAAACCAUCCUUUAGGUCUACAUUUAAGGUGGAAUACUCCUUUACACCAAGAUUGUUUGGUCUACAUUGAAAGAUUUUAGGUGAAAUAUUCCUUUGAACGAACUUUUUAAGUUUAUGUUCAAGGAUGUUGGGUGGAAUAUACCAUCAGACCAACCUUCAAGGUCUACAGUAGUGAAUUUUAGGUGGAAUAUACCAUUAAACUCACCUUUUAGGUCUACAUUGGAGGAUUUUAGGUGGAAUUUUCUUUCAAACCAUCUUUUAGUCUACAUUUAAGGAUGUUUAGGAUGGCAUAUUCUUCCAGACCAACUUCUCAGGUCUACAUUUCAGGUGGAAUAUUCCUCCAUACUAACUUUUUUGGUCUACAUUGAAGAAUUUUUUCUAAACCACCCUUUCGGGUCUAUAUUUGAGGUUUUAGGUGGAAUAUUCCUUUUAACCAGC